Oreochromis aureus is the source of this 1694-nucleotide long non-coding RNA. Lineage: Eukaryota; Metazoa; Chordata; Actinopteri; Cichliformes; Cichlidae. The record is from Ensembl.
GUGGAACCAGGUGGUUUCUUCUACCACAGACAUGCUUCCUUUUGUUUGUUUCAAGGUCUGACAGGAUUUGUUGAUUCUUUUUUCGUCAAUAGAGCCGUUUAGUUGUGUAAAUGUGCUAAUCAGAAGUGUGAGGAGGUUUUUGUCAUUUUUAGUCAUCUGUGUAGAAUUUUAGGUCCCUCAACUCGCUGGCCGGACUAAUUGGCCCUAUACAUAGUCAGUCUCUGCCAGAGUCAGAUGAGAGAGGAGAGGUGAGCUGUGUUACCAAAUCCAUGUACUUUUGAGUUUUGUUACUUUGGGGGAAGUUUUGUGGAGUUUCACGUAUGAUGGAGUCCACUGUAAAUAAAUUGCUCACCUCUGGAAACCUGAAAUGUCUGCGAGUCUGCUUCCCUACCACCUUCCUUCACGUUUGAGUCUGACUACUUCACAACUCCCCACAUUCACUCUGGUUGGUAGCCAGCGUAGCGACCAUUGACUGUAGAAAACAUGGACGACGCGACUCCGCCUCCUACCAUGGUGCAAAAAUGAAGCCAAAAUAUCCCGCUUGUGGAGGCUGCCAUCUUGCAAAUUUGGAGCCAGAGUCUGCGCAGUAGUGACUUGAGGUGGAGCGACUGUGUAACGCUCCCGCCCACACACCCGCUGGACAUGACCACAAACACGCCCCCCUACACUUUUUACGUAGCCCGGCUGCUCGAGUUUUUUUGCUGGUUUACCGCGACUGAUGACUCCUUUAAUUAAGAGUCCAUAUUAUAUCAACAGCUACAUUCACCCUGGAGAGAAACUAGUGAGGGAGACCAUCAGGACCAAGCUGGGUUUCCUGGGUCCAGAGGUUUGGAGAAACUUCUUCCCUUUCUUUCAUCACAGCUGUCCUGUGCCAGAAGUUCUGUUGACCCGCUGUAAGAGGCAUCAUUUAAGAAACACCAGGAAGACUGAAGCUCAUCGCAUAGAUCAAGCAGGACUCAUGAUCUUCACCAGCAGCUCCCUCACAGGGAAAUCUUCAGCACUCCUCCGUAGGCCCGAUCCAGGAGAUGGAUAAACCCAGCAUUUCAUGAACACUGUGAUGGAGACCUUUGCUUUGUGUAAUGUUAUAAAUACUCGGAUACUCCCCAGAGGCUCCAGACUUUUACAUAAAGAUAUUAUAUUCAGUCCUGUAGAAAGUUAUAUAUUUAAAAAUAUAUGAUCCUCUCUGGUUACUCUGGUAUAACUCUGAAUCACUUAUAGUAAAUAACACAUUAUCUGCAAAAAACUGUGAAAGAAUUCCAGAUGACAAGUUUGUAGUUCAACAUACAAGUGACGACCUUUGACCUUCAUCAGGUUUUAUUUAAUUGUGCCAGAGAAAAUCUCAUAUGCUCUUCAUGCAGCUGAGUACAUCAAGUGUUUAAAACGGAAGCUGUGCAGGUCUGAGAUCAGCAGCUUUGUGAAACACCAAACUGAGGUCCUGUUAAUGCUGAUAUAUAGUGACACAGUUACAUGAGUGAUUAAUCCUUUUGUUUUUUUUGUCUUUAACUUUAUCAAUAAAGCUGCAGCUUUCACUACAGGACAUGUGGUACUUUAACCUUUGUACUGUUUUCAUCAGUUCAUUUUGCAGUUAACAUGUUGGAUGAUCUGUCUGCUGUCACUGGGUGGUGCUGAGGUCUGAAUCUGAGGGCAGCUCCUGUAAUCACAAAGACAACAGAACCAUCAAACUCAGAUAUAAA